UCUGCUCACUCUCUCCUUGGAAGGGGCUGUUUAUACACCUGAGGUGCUUAGGAUGAGGAUGGGGCUGUGGUCAGGUUCACACUGUGCAGGGCUCCAAAGAUGCCUCGGGGAGUCAGGACACGGGAGACGGGUGGGGAGGUCUGCUUGCAGUCAGGUUGGACAGGGCUCCAUGUACAUCCUUGGGGUCAGGACUUGGGGAGCUCUGUUUCCAGCCACGUGGUUACAAGGCUCAUCCCAGGCCUGAGGUCGGCAGGACAUGGGCCUGGCUUCCUGGUCACAUACAUGUCUGGUAGGGCCCGAGCUGCAGGCAGGAUGAGGGGGAUUGGGGGGAAGGCUGUGCUUCCCUAUUCUCUUUCUCACAGCCCACCUACAAGUGAUGUGGUCAGGACCUGGGGCCUUGACUCACAGGUUCUUUCUCGAUGGCGGCACUCGUGCAGAACGAGGAUGAGAUGUAGGGUGCUCUGCUGUCGGCCACACUCCUCAGGAGUCCACGUAGCCCAUUUUGUCCAGAGAGAGGGACAGUGUUCCUGUUCAUGUGGUAGAGCUCCUUCUCCGACACCAGUGGAGAGGUUGCAGACUUGGGAAGCUGCGCUCUCAUCCUGCCUGUCCCAGUGGGCCCAAAUCCCUGAGGUGCUCAGCAGAGAGAUGGACUGCUCACCUCCACCGUGUUCCCGGUUGCACACGUGGGUGUGGUUGUCAGGCCAGGAGGAUGCUCUGACCCCGUUCUGAUAGCAGAGGGCUCCACGCAGGCCUUCGCCUGUGCGGACGUGGUGCGGCCCUGCUCUUGUUCCAGAGGCACAGGUUUGCAGCCAGUAGUGAGCUCCCGAGGAGAUGGGGUGGCUUGGUUUACAUUGCUGUUGAGGAGCGCUGCACACUCUGAGGAGCUGUUGACUGCCUGCUGGGUGGCGCUGGUCACAUCCAUGUGCUAGAGGUUUUCCACAGGCCUGCUUUGGUCUGGAAAUGGUGUGUCUCUUGUCCUCUGCCCCUUCCACGGGGCUGCGUUGACAAUGGCGAUGCACAGGGCAUGUCUGUGCUCUGAUCGAGUUGACUUGGCCAAGGGCAUACGCCUCGAAGCUGUUCAGCAAAUGGAGGGUCUCUAUCCAUGUCCACAUUCUCUGGGACUCCACCAGUGCCUGAGGGCAUCAAGAUGUGGUGGAGGCCCCUGCUCACAUCUGUGCUGUGUGGUGCUACCCACUUUCCUGGCAUGGUCAGGAGAGGAGUGUCUAUGCUCAGCACGCUGUAGCAGACUCCACACCAUGGGAGACCUGGCUGGACUGACCGUGACUCCCCUCGAGUCAUCAGACCAGUCUCAGCAGGGGGCAUCUGGCGGGUUGUUGAGGCCAAGCUUACCAUGUACAAGGUUCUGUGUGUACUUCAGUUAGGGAGGACAGGUGAGGGACAUGCAGGGAUGACAGGUGAGGGACAUGUGGGGGUGACAGUUCAUGGACAUGCAGGGAUAACAGUUGGGGGGGCUGCAGGAACCCUGGUCACAUUUACAUAAGGAGAGGCCACCUACAGCCCGUUGGUGGGGUCACGGGGCUGUCAGGGAACAAGCAUGUUGCACAAGGAUCACAAUGACAUUAGAAGCAGGUACACCACGGGGGCACUGGUGUUCAGGUCCAUGUUCUGCAGCACUCUCCUGUGGUGGGCGGUGCUCUGUAUCUGAGGGUGUCACCGGACCUGCACAUUGGGUGGGAUUCCACACUCCUGAGCCAGUGCACAUGCGGUGGGCAUCUGGCCAUGCGGGUGUUUCGGCGGCCUCUUGUAAAUCCCUGCUCAGAUGGGGACAGCCUGGGGCUCCACUCUCAUCCACAUUGUACCGGGAGCCACACAGGCCACAGACAAUCUGUCAGCACAGGGGGCCCAGGGGGCUGCUCAUCCUUGUCAUUCUGGGCUGCACACAUGCCUGAGUACAUCUGCCCAGGUGGUACCCCACUCACGUGUACAUCCUACAGAGGUCCACUCCCACCCCAGGUGGUCGUGAAAUGCGGGUGGAUUUUUUCACAUCGCCACUUUGCCAGGUGUCCAAACACACCUGAGGUCAGGUCUUAGGGUUUCUGCUCACAGCCUGGUUGUAUAGGGCUGCAGGGUAGGACUGAGUUGCAUGGAACUCGGGCUGCCCUGCCCACGUGUACAUUCCAGAGUUGGCGAGGACGUGUGUGCCUUAGUGCUCCAUACCGGAGGUCUUCAGUACAUUGGGUGCUACUGCUCACGUUGUCAUUUCGGGGGCCUUCGCAUGUUUCUCUGCCUACAUAUACAUCAUAGAAAUUUUAUUAUACUUGAGUGUGCCAGGAGGUCAUUCACCUGCAUUUGUGUCCAAUUUUAGAGGACUCCUCUUUAUGAGAUAUGAUAUGCCUAGUGGUUUCUCCUGUCAUUCACAUUGUAGAGCGACCGUGAAUCCCUGGGCUUUCAGCAUAUGGAAGCGCUCUAUUCACAUUCAUGUUGGACUGAGUUCUACCAAUGCUGAUGUCAUUAGGCCACAAUGAUACUCUGUUUUUCAUCACAUGGUACAGGGACCCACACAUGCCUGCAUUCGUCAAGACAUUCAGAUGCUCAACCAUAUUCACAUUGUACUGGGCUCUACACAUACCUUAGUUUCUCAGAAGUGGUGAUUCUGGUUUAAUCCAUGUUUUGGAGGUUUCUAUACAUUCCUGAAAUUAUCAAGACUUAUUGGGGUAUGGGGUAUAUGCUAAUAUAUAGGUUUUGAAAUGCCCCACUUCCCUGAAAUGUUAGUAUGUUUUUGCUGUCUUAUCAUGUACUUGUUGUAGAUGCCUGAAGUAGGCACCCAUGAAGAGUUACCUCACAUCAUAAGUGAGAACUCCACACAGACCUUAGUUAAUUUGGACACGCGGAGCUCCAGUCCAUCGUCCGUGUACCAAGCUUCAUGUAGCUGACAAGGGGUUUUUCUGGAUUCCUCAAUUUGGAAAGCUCCACAUGGCUGAGGAAUUGAGAACUGAGCCCUCUGCGAAAUCAUGUUGUAGAAGGCCAUACAAGUACUUGCCUGAGCCAGUCAGGACACAGUACGUCUGUGGGGUGUCUGCUCAUGAUGAUGUAGAUUUCUGCAUACAGGCAUGGAAUGAUGCAUGUGAACUCCCUUCACAUUAGUGUUUUAAUAAACCAAGACAUUUUUAGUUUUUGGUACCAGGAGUCAAACUCAGGACUUUGUGCUUGGCAGGCAGGUGCUUGUACUGCUGAGCUUUAUCCCGGCCCACAUUAGUAUUUUAGAAAAUUCUGCUCAUCUGAUUUGGUCAAUCUUUAGGAGGUUGGCUUUGCUUUUCCUGCAUUUUUUUGUGAGAGGGUCUCCAUAUGUUGUUCAUGCUGGCCUUAAACUCACUCUGUAGCCCAGGCUGGCCUUGAACUCAAGGUGCUUCUCCUCUCUCAGCCUCCUGAGUGUUGGUGUUACAGUUAUGCACCACCAUGCCCAGCUUGUUCUGCACUUUAGAAGUCUACACAUAUACCUCAGAUGAUCAGAACAGCAGCAUCUCUGGUCAAAUCCAUUUUCCAGAGAACUCUACUCAGCCAUGAAUUGGCUAUAUAACAGGUCACCACAUCCCAUGCACACUGUGGAAGAUGCCUGAGACAUUCAAGAUGUUGUGGGGAUCUGCCUGUCUCCACAUUGUAGAGGUCUCAUGUCUAUCCCUGAAAUGGUUUGGACUUGGUGGGGCUUCACUCACAUUCACAGGGUACAGGGCGCCUCAGAGGUGUGAGAUGGUCUACACACUAGAGAUGUGGGGGCUUCUCACCUACUUCUGGCCAUUUCCUGGUGAGGGCUUUUGGUCCUCUGCUCACAGCCACACUCCAGAGGGCUCUACUUACCAGAGGUGCUCAAGACAAGGGGCGCACUUCUCACAUCGUUGUUUUAGAGGGCUCCAAAACCAGCUUCGAGUAUCAUGACCUGGAAGGCUCUAGCCACAUCCUCCUUGUGACCAAGGACUCCACAUACCUGAGAAAGUGAAGAGAAAGGUGUUCUCCUUACAUCCAUAUUAUAAAGGGGUUCUGCACCCAGCUGAGG
Chinchilla lanigera (long-tailed chinchilla) is the source of this 4012-nucleotide long non-coding RNA. The record is from Ensembl. Lineage: Eukaryota; Metazoa; Chordata; Mammalia; Rodentia; Chinchillidae.